This 884-nucleotide ribosomal RNA is filed under the name uncultured bacterium. RNAcentral's name for it is "bacterial SSU rRNA". It matches the Rfam family "Bacterial small subunit ribosomal RNA", at positions 55 to 934 of the family's 1533-position model. The record is from RNAcentral.
AUGCAAGUCGAGGGACAGCGAGAUGUAGCAAUACGUCGUCGGCGACCGGCGAAUGGGUGAGUAACACGUAUGCAACUUACUUCUUAGUGGUGAAUAACCCGAUGAAAGUCGGACUAAUACACCAUACUCUCCUUAGAUCACAUGAGAAGAGGAGGAAAGAUUAAUCGCUAAGAGAUAGGCCUGCGUUCCAUUAGCUCGUUGGUAAGGUAACGGCUUACCAAGGCAACGAUGGAUAGGGGGACUGAGAGGUUGACCCCCCACAUUGACACUGAGAUACGGGUCAAACUCCUACGGGAGGCAGCAGUGAGGAAUAUUGGUCAAUGGGCGAGAGCCUGAACCAGCCAAGUCGCGUGAAGGAAGACUGCCCGCAAGGGUUGUAAACUUCUUUUGUAUGGGAUUAAAGUCACCUACGUGUAGGUGUUUGCAGUUACCAUACGAAUAAGCAUCGGCUAACUCCGUGCCAGCAGCCGCGGUAAUACGGAGGAUGCGAGCGUUAUCCGGAAUUAUUGGGUUUAAAGGGUGCGUAGGUUGCAAGGGAAGUCAGGGGUGAAAAGCUGUAGCUCAACUAUGGUCUUGCCUUUGAAACUCUCUAGCUAGAGUGUACUGGAGGUACGUGGAACGUGUGGUGUAGCGGUGAAAUGCAUAGAUAUCACACAGAACUCCGAUUGCGCAGGCAGCGUACUACAUUACAACUGACACUGAAGCACGAAAGCGUGGGUAUCAAACAGGAUUAGAUACCCUGGUAGUCCACGCAGUAAACGAUGAAUACUAGAUCUAUGCGAUAUACAGUAUGGGUCUAAGCGAAAGCGAUAAGUAUUCCACCUGGGGAGUACGCCGGCAACGGUGAAACUCAAAGAGAUUGGCGGGGGUCCGCACAAGCGGAG